GUUUGUUUCAGGUCUGCGUGAUCAUUUUGUUGUCCUGGAUGUGAGAACAUGGCCAAAAGGUGUGUCAAUCAGCAUCCAGCCAUAAAAGCAGCCUUCUCGUUAAAAGGCUCAGGAGGACAAACAGCUGCCAGAGGAGGAUGAUGAUGGCAGUGGUGACCGAGGUGACUGUGCAGCUCAGGAUGAAGAAGAGGAGGAACAUCUUCCAGUUUGCCAAAAUCCAAAGUGAAUAUAUAGAGACCAUCCUCCUAUCCUUGCCUCAGAAGAACCUGAGAAAGACACUCUUCCUCUUCUCUCACAGCUCUCCAUUAUCUACCUCUACAACACUGUUGGAAAGAUUGUUCUACACAGCUGAGGACACGGUAAUGAGAGAUCUCAAAUCCUUCCUGAGAAAGUCCACGUUCAUUUUCUUGAACAAAAACUGUACAUGUAUUUUUGGGUGGGCCAAACUAUUAUUUGAAGAAAUGAUAAAAAAAUCUUUAUAUUGUUCUUUAUACAUAUCUUUUACUCUUUAUGAAUGUCAUCUUCUGGAUUUUUUUAGCUUUUGAGAAGCUCAAGGACUGUAUAUCUUUGGUAAUUAUGAUAUUGUCUGGCAGAAAAGCAGUAUUAAAGCACAUUACCUCAGUAUAUUUGUAGCAGCUGCCUCAUACAGGACACUUAGGAAAUGGUUUAAAAUAUAUUUUU
Long non-coding RNA from Megalobrama amblycephala (Wuchang bream), 681 nucleotides. RefSeq lists it as uncharacterized. Lineage: Eukaryota; Metazoa; Chordata; Actinopteri; Cypriniformes; Xenocyprididae. The transcript has 3 exons. The record is from RefSeq and is a predicted model, not a curated record.